This 495-nucleotide ribosomal RNA is filed under the name uncultured bacterium. RNAcentral describes it as "partial 16S ribosomal RNA". It matches the Rfam family "Bacterial small subunit ribosomal RNA", at positions 28 to 507 of the family's 1533-position model. The record is from RNAcentral.
GACGAACGCUGGCGGCGUGCCUAAUACAUGCAAGUAGAACGCUGAAGGAGGAGCUUGCUUCUCUGGAUGAGUUGCGAACGGGUGAGUAACGCGUAGGUAACCUGCCUGGUAGCGGGGGAUAACUAUUGGAAACGAUAGCUAAUACCGCAUAAGAGUAGAUGUUGCAUGACAUUUGCUUAAAAGGUGCAAUUGCAUCACUACCAGAUGGACCUGCGUUGUAUUAGCUAGUUGGUGAGGUAACGGCUCACCAAGGCGACGAUACAUAGCCGGCCUGAGAGGGUGGUCGGCCAAACUGGGACUGAGACACGGCCCAGACUCCUACGGGAAGCAGCAGUAGGGAAUCUUCGGCAAUGGACGGAAGUCUGACCGAGCAACGCCGCGUGAGUGAAGAAGGUUUUCGGAUCGUAAAGCUCUGUUGUAAGGGAAGAACGAGUGUGAGAGUGGAAAGUUCACACUGUGACGGUAUCUGACCAGAAAGGGACGGCUAACUACGUG